Molecule: ribosomal RNA, 431 nt
Filed under: uncultured bacterium
Lineage: Bacteria
Description: bacterial SSU rRNA
Rfam family: Bacterial small subunit ribosomal RNA
Source: RNAcentral
UGGGGAAUAUUGCGCAAUGGGCGAAAGCUUGACGCAGCAACGCCGCGUGAGUGAUGAAGGCCUUCGGGUCGUAAAGCUCUGUCAGAAGGAACGAAUACCCGCUGGGACUAAUACCCCGGCGGUUUGACGGUACCUUCAGAGGAAGCACCGGCUAACUCCGUGCCAGCAGCCGCGGUAAUACGGAGGGUGCUAGCGUUGUUCGGAAUUACUGGGCGUAAAGCGCGUGUAGGUGGACUAAGUAGUCGGGUGUGAAAGCCCUGGGCUCAACCCAGGAAGUGCGCCCGAAACCAUUAGUCUUGAGGUCCGGAAGGGAUCGGGGAAUUCCCAGUGUAGAAGUGAAAUUCGUAGAUAUUGGGAGGAACACCGGCGGCGAAGGCGCCGAUCUGGACGGAUUCUGACACUGAGACGCGAAAGCGUGGGUAGCAAACAGG